This 19-nucleotide non-coding RNA is filed under the name Rattus norvegicus (Norway rat). Lineage: Eukaryota; Metazoa; Chordata; Mammalia; Rodentia; Muridae. The record is from RNAcentral.
UAGGUGUUUAUGACGUUUA